GGGGUGGUAGUUCAGCCGGUUAGAACGCUGGCCUGUCACGCCAGAGGUCGCGGGUUCGAUCCCCGUCCACCCCGCCA
This 77-nucleotide transfer RNA is filed under the name Nitrospirota bacterium. Its description in RNAcentral is "Nitrospirae bacterium (sediment metagenome) tRNA-Asp". It matches the Rfam family "tRNA". From Rfam's summary of the family: Transfer RNA (tRNA) molecules are approximately 80 nucleotides in length. The record is from RNAcentral. Lineage: Bacteria; Pseudomonadati; Nitrospirota.